GCUGGGCAUGGUGGCGCGUGCCUGUAGUCCCAGCUACUUGGGAGGCUGAGGCAGAAGAAUCGCUUGAAUCCGGGAGGUGGAAGUUUGCAGUGAGCCGAGGUCGUGCCACUGCACUCCAGCCUGGGUGACAGAGUGAGACUCUGUCUCAA
Unclassified non-coding RNA from Macaca fascicularis (crab-eating macaque), 149 nucleotides. It matches the Rfam family "Metazoan signal recognition particle RNA". Rfam says of the family: The signal recognition particle (SRP) is a universally conserved ribonucleoprotein. It is involved in the co-translational targeting of proteins to membranes. The record is from Ensembl. Lineage: Eukaryota; Metazoa; Chordata; Mammalia; Primates; Cercopithecidae.